CUUGUGGGGGGAUUAGUGGCGAACGGGUGAGUAACACGUGAGUAACCUGCCCUUAACUCUGGGAUAAGCCUGGGAAACUGGGUCUAAUACCGGAUAUGACUCCUCAUCGCAUGGUGGGGGGUGGAAAGCUUUAUUGUGGUUUUGGAUGGACUCGCGGCCUAUCAGCUUGUUGGUGAGGUAAUGGCUCACCAAGGCGACGACGGGUAGCCGGCCUGAGAGGGUGACCGGCCACACUGGGACUGAGACACGGCCCAGACUCCUACGGGAGGCAGCAGUGGGGAAUAUUGCACAAUGGGCGAAAGCCUGAUGCAGCGACGCCGCGUGAGGGAUGACGGCCUUCGGGUUGUAAACCUCUUUCAGUAGGGAAGAAGCGAAAGUGACGGUACCUGCAGAAGAAGCGCCGGCUAACUACGUGCCAGCAGCCGCGGUAAUACGUAGGGCGCAAGCGUUAUCCGGAAUUAUUGGGCGUAAAGAGCUCGUAGGCGGUUUGUCGCGUCUGCCGUGAAAGUCCGGGGCUCAACUCCGGAUCUGCGGUGGGUACGGGCAGACUAGAGUGAUGUAGGGGAGACUGGAAUUCCUGGUGUAGCGGUGAAAUGCGCAGAUAUCAGGAGGAACACCGAUGGCGAAGGCAGGUCUCUGGGCAUUAACUGACGCUGAGGAGCGAAAGCAUGGGGAGCGAACAGGAUUAGAUACCCUGGUAGUCCAUGCCGUAAACGUUGGGCACUAGGUGUGGGGGACAUUCCACGUUUUCCGCGCCGUAGCUAACGCAUUAAGUGCCCCGCCUGGGGAGUACGGCCGCAAGGCUAAAACUCAAAGGAAUUGACGGGGGCCCGCACAAGCGGCGGAGCAUGCGGAUUAAUUCGAUGCAACGCGAAGAACCUUACCAAGGCUUGACAUGAACCGGAAAUACCUGGAAACAGGUGCCCCGCUUGCGGUCGGUUUACAGGUGGUGCAUGGUUGUCGUCAGCUCGUGUCGUGAGAUGUUGGGUUAAGUCCCGCAACGAGCGCAACCCUCGUUCUAUGUUGCCAGCGCGUUAUGGCGGGGACUCAUAGGAGACUGCCGGGGUCAACUCGGAGGAAGGUGGGGACGACGUCAAAUCAUCAUGCCCCUUAUGUCUUGGGCUUCACGCAUGCUACAAUGGCCGGUACAAAGGGUUGCGAUACUGUGAGGUGGAGCUAAUCCCAAAAAGCCGGUCUCAGUUCGGAUUGGGGUCUGCAACUCGACCCCAUGAAGUCGGAGUCGCUAGUAAUCGCAGAUCAGCAACGCUGCGGUGAAUACGUUCCCGGGCCUUGUACACACCGCCCGUCAAGUCACGAAAGUUGGUAACACCCGAAGCCGGGGCCUAACCCCUGUGGAGG
RNAcentral lists this ribosomal RNA (1359 nucleotides) under Pseudarthrobacter sulfonivorans. Its description in RNAcentral is "bacterial SSU rRNA". It matches the Rfam family "Bacterial small subunit ribosomal RNA", at positions 80 to 1449 of the family's 1533-position model. The record is from RNAcentral. Lineage: Bacteria; Bacillati; Actinomycetota; Actinomycetes; Micrococcales; Micrococcaceae.